Molecule: RNA transcript, 3628 nt
Organism: Lagopus muta (rock ptarmigan)
Lineage: Eukaryota; Metazoa; Chordata; Aves; Galliformes; Phasianidae
Gene: DNAJC24
Gene name: DnaJ heat shock protein family (Hsp40) member C24
Exons: 6
Source: RefSeq, a predicted model, not a curated record
ACGUCGCCAUGGAGACAGCGUCGGGCCCGGCCGGCACGCCGCUUCCUGCCGGUGCCUCGCCACUGGGGCCCGGGCGGAAACACGCGAGGCCUCGCCGGCGCUGCCCAUCGCAACGCCGAAGCGGCGAGCGGAGGUUAGGUUUCUCACCGGACGACUGAUGCCGGGGUUCGGCAGGCUGCGCGGUGAGGCCGGCGACGCGGGGCAGCACUGAGCAAAUCAAGGCCAGCCAGAGAUGGCUGUGGAGCAGACAAGAGGAAAGGACUGGUACCAAAUCCUGGGCGCACAGCCAUCAGACAGCCCAGCAGAACUGAAGCAGAAAUAUCAAAGGCUGGCUUUGUUAUAUCACCCAGACAAACAGAAGGCAGAUGUGCCAGCAGGAGAAGUGGAGGAGCGUGUGCAGAGGUUCAUCGAAAUUGAUCAAGCGUGGAAAAUUCUAGGGAAUGAAGAGACAAAAAAAGAGUAUGACCUGCAGCAGCGUGAAGAUAAUCUGACCAAAGAAUGGCCGUUACAUGCACAGAUUUAUCUUCAGGAUAUGUCCUGGAUUGAAGAUGAGCAGUGUUACACCCUUCCAUGCCGAUGCGGUGGGAGUUACUCCGUCUCCAAGAGCGAAAGCAAAGAUGUAUCUUUGGUCUGUUGUGACACAUGUUCCCUUGUUAUUGAGAUCCUGCAGUGAGUGCUGCACACAAGCACACCCAGUUAGGAACUUUCAAAACACUGGACGUGCAGGACAGCAUCUCACAGGACAAACGGGACAACAGGGAUGCUCCGAGAACAAGCUCAGUCUGUCUCAAGACAGGAAGCGUGCCCAUUUACUGACCUAUCUUUAAAGACAUUCUAUUUGUUCUGUUUUCUCUUCAACCAAAUUGCUAUUUAUAAAAAGCUUCCAGAACCCAACACUGAGUUCUGUACACCUGGACUAUAUCUAAACAACCUUUCUUUCCCAGCAAACAACAGAGUGGCUUCUUUCAGUCUCUGUCUUUCAUCAACUGCAGCUCAGGCCUUCCCUCUUAAUGUCUGGGAUACGUGCAUCAGGCGUGUCAGAGCGUAAAUCCCUGCCUACUCGCACUAGAAUCUGUAUGCGGAGCUGCUGACCAGGAAUGCUUAAGCCUUUUUGAAACCUGCUGCUGCUGUCUUCUUCCACAGUCACCUGUGUAAAGGACUGCCUUGUUCUGCUGGAGCUGGAAAAGUAUGGUUGGUUUGUCCAUUGUUGGCAGACGCAGAGGAGUCCGGCUAUGUUAGCAGGACAAAAGGGUCAGUUUGCAGUAAGUUGGGAGAUGGCUUCCACUCGGGUCUUCUUCCUUCUACCUAAUAAGUCAGGUAAGUAGGUCCAAAGCACAUUGGUACUUCUCAGCCGAGUGCACCCACCUCUCUUUUUAUGCAGUAGUUGCAAAUCGAGCUUGCAGUAAUGAUGAAUUAAAACCUGCAACCCGCAUGGCAUCUUCAAGUUCUCUGUGGUACUGUUUUCCUCAUGUCAGAGCUAACAGAAGUGAUUGAUGUCUCCAUCACAAAACAACACUUUGGUCCAUCAUCACCUGCCCUUCACAGAAAGUAUACCAGUACGUAGAAACAGUGCUGCUACCAAGCCAGCCUUGAGGCUGAAAACAGAUUCACCUUCAUCAUAAAAAAAUUUGUACAGACAGAUCCUUUUACAAAACACACAAUAUGAUCCAAUUAAAGAGCAAUGAGUUUGAACCGCAACAUCAGAGAGGAGUAAAAUGUGAACGUAAUUUAAAUCUUAAAAAGCAUUUUAACUGUUGCAUCGUAAAGGAAUUCUUAGUUCAAACAUAAACUUACUGAGGAUGUGUAGUAGCAAUGCAGAGCUAGCAUCAUCAGUCAUAUUAAUUUAAAGGCUAACCUAGGAAAAAGGCAAAGGAAGCUACCCAAGUGAUUAUUAAAAAAAAUUACCACUAAGUCAUUUUUUAAAGAAGAAUCUGUCCAGAUACAAAUGACCUGCAAAGCACAUGCAGCUACGCAGGCCAACAAUUUCUGACAGGACUCUGAGAAUGUGCUGCCAUUCCUAUUUCCCUCAAGAUUUGUGAGAUGAAGUCAGUGCAGACUGUCCAGCAGCAAUAGUUAGGGUAGCUGGACGUCCAUCUGCUUAUGAGCAGUGCACUCACUGUGCCCACACCUUACACAAGGCUCUGCUUUUCAGGUGCAAUGCAAACAUCUCAUGCCCAGCAACUUCCAGAAUUACAGACCACCAAACUACUGUCAUUUUGAGAGACUGUCUAUCUCAGCAAUUGCACAAGAAGAGAAUCAUGAAUUGCCACAAAAAGAAACUUUUUUAAUGAAAUAAGGCAACAAACUCUCAUUAACAUUUCACAUUUCUAAGAGCACAUCACUUCUUGUAACAUGCUACCGUUUCAUACACAGGAGCCUACAGCUGCUGUUCUACUUAAUGGCCUGCUUCUAGAUCUUCCCAUCUUCCAUGCACCCAAAGUUCAAAAAAGCUUAAAAAGAAAAAAAAUUAAAGAAAAAAAGCACAAAAAACUUUUGCCACCUUUGGUAUACCACUUACUACUUCUAACAUAACUAAUAAUUACUAAUUAAUUACCUAAAUAAGAUGUUCAUAGUUUUCAUUUCAGAUAGAACGUCUGCAAUGAAGUAUGUACCUAAAUCCUGAAUUUCACCUUUUCUGGUAACUUUUGUAGUUUCCCAUUGAAGUAUGACAGGGCCAUACACCUCUAAAUCUGUACUGUCACAAUGUAGGAUUAAUCUAGAGAUACUGCAGUACAAUAGCUUUGUACGAUGCCUGUCCAUCACCCAGGCACCUCACUACGACCCAGAAUUAAGAUGAGGAGUACAGGAAUCAUACAGAUUACUUGAAAAUGUUAAACCAAACACAGGUGACAUGAUACACAUGUAAGCAAAGGAAAAAAGAAUUGGCUGCAACACUUGCACUUUUGGUUUUACACACUGACGGGCUGCUGCUCCUUUUUUUGACAGUGGGAAAGCUGCUCACUUGACAACACACGACGCUGCAUUUUGGUGUCUACAGGUGAUGGACUGUAAGAAAUACCAGUUACCAUCGCUACGCAGCAGCACAUUGUGAAUACAGUAAUGUUUUCACAAGUAUUGCCAAGAACGCCAAAAGCAUUCAGCCCAGCUGGAUGGUAUUUUAGACGUCGCACACGGGCCAGCUCUAAGAAGCCCGGGUCCCACAAGCCUGACAACUGAAUUUUCACACAACUGGUGGCUUGCAUGACAAAGCAGCAAUCCCACAGCAGCACAGGUCCAUCCAAACCACGCUCCCUCUGAUCUCCCGCAGCCUGUCUUUGCCUCGGUAGCCCCAGUGCCUCUGGUUUUGUGCAGAUUAUCUGAGGAUUUAUUUUCAAGGAACAACAGCUCCAAGGGAGAACCGGUUAUCUGAGGUGCAGCUUAUAUGCAUGAGAAUACGGACGCUGAUUAGACACAUGCCUCUUCCUCUUCUCCCUCCCAGGGCUGUGAGGGCCCUACUACAGGAGCAGAUAGAGCAGAAGGGCAAAAUAAUCAUUCAGAGGAGCCCAGCUUUUAUUGGUGGCUUAUAGCGUUUCAGUUCGGAUAAACCUCACUCACUGCAGAACCAGGGGAUGAAACAGACACGGUGUUUACUGCAACACCAGAAAACCAAGACACUGCAAGUAAGAGA